AGAGUUUGAUCCUGGCUCAGCGUGAACGCUGGCGGCAUGGCUAAAGCAUGCAAGUCGUACGAACCCGCAAGGGUGAGUGGCGGACGGGUUAGUAAUACGAUCGAACAUACCUCGAGCUGGAGGAUAGCGGCGGGAAACUGCCGGUAAUACUCCAUGUCCUCUCCGGAGAAAAGCUUUUGCGGCUUGAGAUUGGCGAUUGUCCUAUCAGCUAGUUGGCGGGGUAAAGGCCCACCAAGGCGAAGACGGGUAGCAGGUGUGAGAGCACGACCUGCAACAUCGGGACUGAGACACUGCCCGGACUCCUACGGGAGGCUGCAGCGACGAAUCUUCUGCAAUGGGCGAAAGCCUGACAGAGCAAUGCCGCGUGUGGGAUGAAGCGUCUAUGACGUGUAAACCACUGUCAGGGGGCGGAACCAAUGAUUGCCCCCAGAGGAAGAGCCGGCUAACCCUGUGCCAGCAGCCGCGGUAAUACAGGGGGCUCGAGCGUUACGCGGAAUCACUGGGCUUAAAGGGUGCGUAGGUGGCUCGCAAAGCAUUACGUGAAAGCCCCGGGCUCAACCCGGGAAUUGCGCGAUGUACUGGCGAGCUUGAGGUAAGUAGGGGUUGACGGAACAGUGGGUGGAGCGGUGAAAUGCGUAGAGAUCCACUGGAACGCCGAUGGUGAAGACGCAACUGGGCUUAUCCUGACACUGAGGCACGAAAGCGUGGGGAGCAAACAGGAUUAGAUACCCUAGUAGUCC
Molecule: ribosomal RNA, 740 nt
Filed under: uncultured bacterium
Lineage: Bacteria
Description: bacterial SSU rRNA
Rfam family: Bacterial small subunit ribosomal RNA
Source: RNAcentral